RNAcentral lists this ribosomal RNA (506 nucleotides) under uncultured Sphingobacteriales bacterium. Its description in RNAcentral is "bacterial SSU rRNA". It matches the Rfam family "Bacterial small subunit ribosomal RNA", at positions 903 to 1382 of the family's 1533-position model. Lineage: Bacteria; Pseudomonadati; Bacteroidota; Sphingobacteriia; Sphingobacteriales. The record is from RNAcentral.
CGCCUUGCCAGCCCGCUCAGAAACUCAAAGGAAUUGACGGGGGCCCGCACAAGCGGAGGAGCAUGUGGUUUAAUUCGAUGAUACGCGAGGAACCUUACCUGGGCUCGAACGUAAGAUGACUGUAGGUGAAAGCUUACAUCUCUUCGGAGCAUUUUACGAGGUGCUGCAUGGUUGUCGUCAGCUCGUGCCGUGAGGUGUCGGGUUAAGUCCCAUAACGAGCGCAACCCCUACCUUUAGUUGCCAUCAGGUUAAGCUGGGGACUCUAAAGGAACUGCCUACGCAAGUAGUGAGGAAGGUGGGGACGACGUCAAGUCAUCAUGGCCCUUAUGUCUAGGGCUACACACGUGCUACAAUGGGUUAUACAGAGGGCAGCUAGCUCGCGAGAGUCUGCGAAUCCCUUAAAGUAAUCCUCAGUUCGGAUUGUAGUCUGCAACUCGACUACAUGAAGUUGGAAUCGCUAGUAAUCGCAGGUCAGCAAAACUGCGGUGAAUACGUUCCCGGGCCUU